Molecule: ribosomal RNA, 467 nt
Filed under: uncultured bacterium
Lineage: Bacteria
Description: partial 16S ribosomal RNA
Rfam family: Bacterial small subunit ribosomal RNA
Source: RNAcentral
GAUGAACGCUGGCGGCGUGCUUAACACAUGCAAGUCGAACGGAAAGGCCCAAGCUUGCUUGGGUACUCGAGUGGCGAACGGGUGAGUAACACGUGGGUGAUCUGCCCUGCACUUCGGGAUAAGCCUGGGAAACUGGGUCUAAUACAGGAUAGGACCACAUUUUGGAUGGUGUGGUGGAAAGUUUUUCGGUGUGGGAUGAGCUCGCGGCCUAUCAGCUUGUUGGUGGGGUAGUGGCCUACCAAGGCGUCGACGGGUAGCCGGCCGGCGAGAGUGGACGGCCACAUUGGGCCUGUGCUGCAGCCCGGACUCCGACGUGUUGCAGCAUUGGGGAAUAUUGCACAAUGGGCGCCAGCCUGAUGCAGCGACGCCGCGUGGGGGAUGACGGCCUUCGUUGUGUAAACUCCUUUCGCUAGGGACGAAGCGUUUUUGUGACGGUACCUGGAGAAGAAGCACCGGCUAACUACGUG